This 518-nucleotide unclassified non-coding RNA is filed under the name Hevea brasiliensis (rubber tree). The record is from RNAcentral. Lineage: Eukaryota; Viridiplantae; Streptophyta; Magnoliopsida; Malpighiales; Euphorbiaceae.
UUGUAAUUAACUAUUUUACGAAAAACAAUAUUAGUUUACAAAAAUCUCACGAGACAAAUUGUAAAAUUUUGUUAAACCAUUUCAUUUUUUGUAAUAAAGUAAUUUUACUUUGUAAUAUAACCAAGUAACCAUAGAAUACCCCACAUAAAGAUAUUUUUAAUAAAGAGGGGUCAAUUGACAUCUCCCCCCCAUUUUACAAGCCGCAUUCGCCACUGAUAUCAAUUGUCAUCUCAAAGUUUGCAUUAGAGUUAAAGCAUUAUUUGUUGUUCAUUCUGUCUUUGUUCAUAACCUUCUAUUGUCAGUUAUUAUCAAUUGUGAAAUUUUGCAUGACAACAUGGGCUAUUGAAACUAGAGAUUGGACCACUAUGGUAUGAGACUGAUUCAUAGUUGUUCCUUCAAUGAAAAUGGAUAACUCAUGAGCUUAUUCACUUCAUGGAAUGCAGACUGAUAGUUCAUCUGAUUCCAAUAUUGGUAUUAUUGAGCUGCUAUAAUUCAAACUUGUUUUCCACAAGGAAUAA